This 28-nucleotide non-coding RNA is filed under the name Mus musculus (house mouse). The record is from RNAcentral. Lineage: Eukaryota; Metazoa; Chordata; Mammalia; Rodentia; Muridae.
UCCUCAAGUGUGUGUCCUCGUGGAUAUG